CAGUCACUCCAAUAGUAAUCUGUAUCACAGUUGCCACACCUUAUUACAAUGAAAAUCACCGACACUAAAUAAAAUCUAUAUUUUAUUACAACAUAACAAUCUUCCAACGCCACGCUACCAAGUCAGGAGUAUUAACGGAUGUAACUUUGCACACACUAGGAACAAAGAGCAUCGUGCCAACCAAAGAGAACCAAAAGUACAUAUUUAAAAUAUCUGCCAUAAAUUAGUUUACUCUCUGUACUCAGUCGAUUACUUCUUAUUUUUUCAGAACAGUACAUUGUAAAUGAAUCGUGAAAUAAUUCUUAAAAACGAUCUUCACUCUACUAAUUUCAUGGAUUGUAUGCCUUCACACACGAGUGACGCUCGGGUAACAAAAGUGGUGCACCAAACUGGAAGUUGGUGAACCUGGCUGUAUAAUACAAACGUAAGAUGGUGAUAUGCCGUGAUCUGAUGCAGCAGUUAGUACAUGGUCCCAUAGAGGUGGUAAUUGGGCUGAGUUUUGGAAUAGGAUGGGGAAUUCUUUUGAUGUUCAUUCCUCAUAAAGAUGAUGUUAGAUAUCAACAAUGCUUUUGAAGAUAUCUGUCUUCUGGGUUGUUGCGCUGUGUAGACUUGUCAAUGUUAACCAACGUUUCAGAGGUCAUACUGCCUCCGUCAUCAGGGCGAGCGAGGGUAAGCCUUGUCACUCAUUCACAAUCAUAAGGUAGGACAAGAAUAAUUAUGCAUGCAGUAAAGCUACAGUAACUGAAAAAACUAAACACAGCAAAAUAUAUACAACACAUGAUGUUACAGAAACUUGUAAAAAUGUAGCACUUAAAAAGUUAAUAAGUUGAUUAUAUUUUAGCUGUCAAGACUUUCCAGUUUUCUGUUGAAACCUAAGAUUUAUCUCUUUUGUUUUCAGUAAAGCCAGCCUUGUCCUCAGUACAGUUUGCAUCAUAAAGUAAAUUAUAAAUGCCCUUAACAAUGUUGUAUGUACUUAAUUAUUUUUUAUCCCGAAUGCAAGUAAAUUUUGCCAGGUCAGGAGGCUUGCGUGCUCAAGUGACCCUUAGGGCUAUGCGGGCCGGAGCUUCAGCUCAUGGUAGGGUCACCUAAGCUGGACAGGUCUAAGGCAAUGAGCCAGACUAAGGGUGAUACCCUUGUCCUCCAGGUUGGGGGUUGGGUGUGGGGCAAAGAACUCCACCCUGGAAAACAAUUAUUGUUAUGAUACUCUCAAAAGAUAUAAAUACCUGUAACUCACAAUGUAGUCAGUACAUUUAUUCUCCCAUAUUUCUUCCUUUGCUGUGGAAUUUCUUUAAACAUGCUCUGUGUUAUGAUAUCCUGUAUAUUUGGCACAUUACAGAAUUAUUCCUCCCUAACAAUUAAAGACAUACAGGUAUUUAUAUCUUACAUUUGAAUAACAGUGAGAGCUUUCUUUUAUUUAUUAAUCAAAAAUGACAACAUACAGAAAAACUGACAGGUUUACAAAAUAAAAUUAUGAUUUGAGAAUUAACAACUGUGCUUUGUACUGACAGUUUUAUGUUCCAUUCAGUGACAAAGUUACAUCACCACAUAUGUCAGUGUUGGUCACAUGAAUGGGUCAAAAGUCUGUAUUAUAAAGGCUUAUUUUAUAUAUGAUUUCAAGCUUUCACGACGAAGUAACUCACUAAAAUCUUCUUAGGCGAUCAGCCACGUCAAAGGUUUAAACAAUAAAACCGACAUUUCAGAGACCG
Non-coding RNA from Zootermopsis nevadensis, 1706 nucleotides. The record is from RefSeq and is a predicted model, not a curated record. NCBI's taxonomy places the organism in Eukaryota, Metazoa, Arthropoda, Insecta, Blattodea, Termopsidae.